Molecule: ribosomal RNA, 292 nt
Filed under: uncultured bacterium
Lineage: Bacteria
Description: partial 16S ribosomal RNA
Source: RNAcentral
GGACUACAAGGGUAUCUAAUCCUGUUUGCUCCCCACGCUUUCGCGUCUCAGCGUCAGUCACGUCCCAGCGAGCUGCCUUCGCCAUUGGUGUUCCUCCUGAUAUCUGCGCAUUUCACCGCUACACCAGGAAUUCCACUCGCCUCUUCCGGACUCGAGCUUGACAGUAUCCACCCGCCUCCCGGGGUUGAGCCCCGGGCUUUCAGAGCGGACUUACCAAGCCGCCUACACGCGCUUUACGCCCAAUGAUUCCGGACAACGCUUGCCCCCUACGUAUUACCGCGGCUGCUGGCAC